Molecule: ribosomal RNA, 1380 nt
Filed under: Triticum aestivum (bread wheat)
Lineage: Eukaryota; Viridiplantae; Streptophyta; Magnoliopsida; Poales; Poaceae
Description: partial small subunit ribosomal RNA
Source: RNAcentral
AUGUCACAGGCAGCGUAUGAGCACUUCUCGUCCAUCCUUGGGGCCGCUACUGCGCAUACUCACUCCAUUAGCCUUGACAGCAUUAACCACAUAAGCUUCGACCUCCUUGAGCUCGACAACCCAUUCUCCGAGCUGGAGGUUUGGGAGGCCAUCAAGAAGAUGCCGACCGGCAAGGCGCCUGGACCAGACGGCUUCACCUCUGAGUUCCUCCAGGCAUGUUGGCCCAUCAUCAAGGCUGAUAUUUGCGAGGCCUUUAACAAGCUCUACUCCUUGAAUGGGAGGGGUUUUCACAAGCUAAAUGAGGCCCUGCUGAUUUUACUGCCCAAGAAGUCAGAUGCUGCCACGCUCUCGGACUACCGGCCCAUCAGUCUGAUUCACAUCAUUGCCAAGUUGUUUGCCAAAGUGCUAUCAUUGCGUCUCGCUUCGAGGAUGGGGAAGAUCGUCUCUGCCAACCAGAGCGCAUUCAUUGCUGACCGGUGCGUGCAUGACAACUUUUUGCUGGUUCAACAGACGGCCCGAUUCCUCCAUACCUCCAAAGCACCGAGAGUUCUCCUCAAGCUCGACAUUGCCAAGUCCUUCGAUACGAUCUCUUGGCCCUUCCUCCUUGAUGUCCUAUCACAUAUUGGCUUUGGCCGGCGUUGGUGCGAGUGGGUAUCCAUCCUCACGUCCACUACAUCUACCCGUGUCCUGAUUAAUGGCAAUCAAGGGCCUCCUGUGGACCAUGCCUGCGGGCUUCACCAGGGGGAUCCGGUCUCGCCCAUGCUCUUCGCCAUUGUCAUCGACACUCUAAACUCCCUCUUCAAGCAUGUCGUGUCUGCCGGUGUGCUGCGCCACCUUACCAAGAGGCACGCAGCGUCGAGCAUCUGGCUAUUCGCUGACGAUGUCGUCAUCUUAUGUCACCCUGACCCCGUCGAGCUUGCCACCAUCUGCGAGCUCCUGCGCGUGUUUGGCAACGCAUCCGGUCUGCGCACCAACUUCUCCAAGUGCUCGGCAUCCACAAUCCGAUGCACGGCCGAGGUCGACAUCGUGAUUGCCACGGAGCUUGUUUGCGCUGUCCAGGGCUUCCCCAUCCCUUACCUCGGCCUGCCGCUCACCAUUCGCAAGUGCCCGACCUCUGCGCUACUCCCUCUGGUUGAUCAACUAACCAAGAAGCUCGCCACUUGGAAAGCCUCUCUACUCUCGCGCUCUGAGCGGAUCGCCUUGGUGCGCCACACGCUCAUUGCAAUGCCGGUGCACAUCCUCCUUGCCAUGGCCCUAAACCCCACGAUCCUCAAGAAGAUCACGAUGGUUGGGCACGACUUCCUCUGGCAUGGCUGCAAGGAUGUUGUCGGUGUCAAAACCGACGGAUCUCGGGUAGGGGGUCCCGAACUAUGCGUCUAG